This 1398-nucleotide ribosomal RNA is filed under the name uncultured bacterium. RNAcentral's name for it is "16S ribosomal RNA". It matches the Rfam family "Bacterial small subunit ribosomal RNA". The record is from RNAcentral.
UUAGAGUUUGAUCCUGGCUCAGGAUGAACGCUAGCGGCAGGCUUAACACAUGCAAGUCGAGGGGCAGCGAGAUCAGUGCUUGCACUGAUUGUCGGCGACCGGCGCACGGGUGCGUAACGCGUAUGCAACCUACCCAUUACAGGGGGAUAACACUGAGAAAUCGGUACUAAUACCCCAUAACAUCCAGGGAGGCAUCUUCUUGGGUUGAAAACUCCGGUGGUAAUGGAUGGGCAUGCGUUGUACUAGUUAGUUGGUGGGGUAACGGCUCACCAAGACAACGAUACAUAGGGGGACUGAGAGGUUAACCCCCCACAUUGGUACUGAGACACGGACCAAACUCCUACGGGAGGCAGCAGUGAGGAAUAUUGGUCAAUGGACGCAAGUCUGAACCAGCCAUGCCGCGUGCAGGAAGACGGCUCUAUGAGUUGUAAACUGCUUUUGUACGAGGGUAAACGCAGAUACGCGUAUCUGUCUGAAAGUAUCGUACGAAUAAGGAUCGGCUAACUCCGUGCCAGCAGCCGCGGUAAUACGGAGGAUUCAAGCGUUAUCCGGAUUUAUUGGGUUUAAAGGGUGCGUAGGCGGUCGGAUAAGUUAGAGGUGAAAUCCCGGGGCUCAACUUCGGAAUUGCCUCUGAUACUGUUCGGCUAGAGAGUAGUUGCGGUAGGCGGAAUGUAUGGUGUAGCGGUGAAAUGCUUAGAGAUCAUACAGAACACCGAUUGCGAAGGCAGCUUACCAAGCUACUUCUGACGUUGAGGCACGAAAGCGUGGGGAGCAAACAGGAUUAGAUACCCUGGUAGUCCACGCAGUAAACGAUGAUAACUCGUUGUCGGCGAUACAGUGUCGGUGACUAAGCGAAAGCGAUAAGUUAUCCACCUGGGGAGUACGUUCGCAAGAAUGAAACUCAAAGGAAUUGACGGGGGCCCGCACAAGCGGAGGAACAUGUGGUUUAAUUCGAUGAUACGCGAGGAACCUUACCCGGGCUUGAAAGUUAGUGACGGAUCUUGAAAGAGGUCUUCCCUUCGGGGCACGAAACUAGGUGCUGCAUGGUUGUCGUUAGCUCGUGCCGUGAGGUGUCGGGUUAAGUCCCAUAACGAGCGCAACCCCUACCGUCAGUUGCCAGCAGGUCAAGCUGGGCACUCUGACGGGACUGCCGGUGUAAGCCGAGAGGAAGGUGGGGAUGACGUCAAAUCAGCACGGCCCUUACGUCCGGGGCUACACACGUGUUACAAUGGCAGGUACAGAGGGCAGCUACCCAGCGAUGGGAUGCGAAUCUCGAAAGCCUGUCUCAGUUCGGAUUGGAGGCUGAAACCCGCCUCCAUGAAGUUGGAUUCGCUAGUAAUCGCGCAUCAGCCAUGGCGCGGUGAAUACGUUCCCGGGCCUUGCACUCACCGCCCGUCA